GGUAUUAAUAGUGAGGUGCUAUGAUUAUAGGUUGUAGAAUCUUAUUGGAGGUAUAGUUCGGGCGUAGAUGCAUAAUUACGAGGUAGGGUAUAAAUCAUUAAAUAAUCACUUCUAUAUGAAAAUCAGGUACAUUUGGUUAUAUCACAGACGUAAUGUAUAUUGCACUAUAGAGGUAAAUAUAUGAAUGGGACAAGCACAACAUGUAAUUAAGUCAACCUAAUUCUAAUAAUGCACUUGUCUAUCACGGAAUUUAAAUCUAUAUUGCACUAAUACUUUAUGUCUUUGACAUGGUAAAUACCAAUGGAUUUUCCUUGCAUAUCCUCGAGUUCAUACAUGUUUUGUCCAACGGGCUUGACAAUUCGGGCUUUAACAAAUUUUUUGCAGAAUUUUGAAUUAAUAUUUUUCGAAAAGUCGGAUAAGACGGUAUUUCGCCGGUAGACUUCUUGUCCAGGUCGAAAUUUACACACCCUUGCACGUUUAUUAUAUUUUUCAGAACUUUUUAUGUAAACUCGAUGUAAAUUUUCUUUUAUAUUGGCUCUUAUGAGUUCUAGCUUACUUGGUCUAUCCAUAUUACUGAGCUCAUGGUCGGUUAAGGAUUUCAAUUUCCUUGCCAAGCUAUAAUCCUGUCCAUUUGAGUACAUAUGAAAGCCAAACAACGCAAAGAACGGCGUAACCCCAGUCGAAGUGUGUAUAGAAUUUCUCAAUGCACAUUCUAUUUCGGAUAAAUACAUAUCCCAGUCUCUAUGAUCUUUAUCGAGAUAUGCCCGAAUGGCACAAAUUACCGACUGGUUCACACGUUCCGAUGCGUUGGACUGUGGCGAAUAUAUGGCUGUUUUCAUAUGAUUUAUUUGAUAAGUUCCCAUCAGCUCUUUGAACAUUUUGGAGGUAAACUGCGCACCAUUAUCGCUGUGGAUCACUUCGGGGACACCAAAUUUAUAAAAAAUUUCAUCGACAAGGAAUUUUAUCACGUUGCCGACGGUUGCCUCCCUCAUUGCUUUGAGAAAGGUGAAUUUAGUGAAGUGAUCCACAACGAUGAAAAUGUAUGCAUUACCUUUUUUCGAUCUUGGGUAUUUUCCUAAAAAAUCUAUAUACAGCUUUUGGAACGGCCUAUCAGUUACUACCUCCUUUCCUAUACUGGGCAUCAUAUGCUGAUUGCUAGCUUUGGUUUCCUUACAAACCUGACAGUUCCUUACGUAUUCACGCACUUGAACGGUCAUUCGAGGCCAAUAGAAGAAUCGUCUUAUACGUUCAAGGGUCUUUAUUAUCCCGCCAUGUGCAGACGUCAUAGAAUUAUGGGCUUUUUUUAUUAUUUCCGAGGUUAUACUUGAGGGAAUCCAUAACCUCCAUGUGAGUUCCUCAUUUUCUUCCAAGCUAGGUAGUACCUUUUUAAAAACAUACCCAUCUUCUACUUUUAAAUCUGGCAACUUUUCUUGGUUGUCGGUAACAGUUUUAAUGAGAUCAAGAUAUUCUUGACUCUCGAAUUCCAGGGUUUCAAAAUCUAAGUAGUCAUUUUUCGUGAUUUCGCUAACAUUGGCAACUGGAGCCCUCGACAACAUGUCCGCUACAACAUUCUCGCUUCCUUUCCGGUGUUCUAUAUUAAAAUUAAAUGCCUGCAAUUGUAAUGACCACCUAGCUAGUCUUCCCGUUAAAUCCUUUAAGGACAUAAGCCAUUUUAAAGAAGCGUGGUCCGUUAUUACAGUGAAUGGCAUCAAUUCCACAUAUGGUCGAAACUUUUUGAUAGCCAUCACUGCAGCUAGACAUUCUUUUUCUGUCACGCUAUAAUUGCGUUGACAGGAAUUUAACUUUUGCGAAUAAAACGCUAUGGGGUGUUCUUCCCCCUUAUUAUUUAGUUGAUAUAGCACAGCCCCAAUUCCACAUUCCGAAGCAUCGCAUUGAAUGUAGAAAUGUUUUGAAAAAUCCGCAUGGCGAAGGACUGGGGCAGAUGUUAAAGCCUUUUUUAAUGCUUCAAAAGCUUUUCUAGCUUCCUCCGUGAUUUUAAAGUUCUUACUCUUUUUUAGGGUAUCGGUAAGUGGAGCGGAGAUGGUGGCAAAAUCUUUAAUGAAACGCCUAUACCAUCCCGCUGUCCCUAAGAAGCUUCUAACUUCUCUAGCGCUACGUGGUUCUGCGAUCUUUUUAAUGGCUUUUACCUUGUCUGGGUCCGUCUUUAGUUUUCCAUCGCCAAUGAUAAAUCCCAAAUACCUCAGUUCGCGGAAACAGAACUGGGAUUUCUUAAGCCCUAUCGUUAGAUUUGCUUUCUUUAAGCACUCUGCUACUUCCCAUAAUAGACGCAAAUGUUCGUCAAAAUCACUAGAGAUGACCAGCAAGUCGUCUAAAUAAAUGAAAACGUUUUCUUUCAGGUGUGACGGUAUAACUUUGUCCAUCAACCUACAUAAGCGUUGGGCCGCGUUACAAAGACCGAAAGGCAUCACCCUAAAUUGAUAUAACGGGCGACCAGGGACUGUAAACGCUGUGUAUGCUUUGCUUUCAUCAUCUAAUUCUAUCUGCCAAAAUGCAAACUUUAAAUCAACACUGCUGAUGUAGUAUGUCUCGUCGAUUCUGCUUAAGAUGCCCUCAAUAUUUUGGAGCGGAUACGCAUCCUUCACGGAGGUUUUUUUCGGAGAGGAGUGGUGUGUGCGGUUGCAGGCUAUUAUGGUCUUUAUGGAACUGAUGGAUCAAUCAAACAUUAACACAAAAUUAAAAUAAAAAAAACAACAAUUUAAUACGUGCACUAUAACGCCUCCCACCGAAGACGUUACAGCUUUCCCAGAUCAUCUAAACGGAUACAUCUGUCCUCUGGUUAAAUCCAGAGCGGAUAUCCUGUUAAUGAAUCUGUGUCACUUUUAAAUUUCAAACGGAUACUAUUCUCUGCCAUCUAUCCAAGAUAAUUUGUGCGAAACCGCUUAACCUUCUGAUCAGCGGGUCACAAACUAUCUUGUGGUCUAUUUCCAAGUGUCUCGAUGGAAUACACUUCCUAACUUCUACAAACCCUAUGGUUUCUUUGGUUUGGGCGCCAUAUUGUUAUGUGUCCCUCUUAGGCAGCCUGAGAUGUCUUGAUAUCGCCGACCAGCUCUGCCGACUCCCAUUGGGGUGAGUCCCAUCCCAACAUCCGGCUCAGGAACAACAACAAUAAACUAUGGGAAUUCACCAACAAAAGAACAACACUAUAAUGAUGAACAUGAUACCAUCCAAAUCCAUAACGUCUGUUGACA
Long non-coding RNA from Musca domestica (house fly), 3209 nucleotides. RefSeq lists it as uncharacterized. The transcript is spliced from 3 exons. The record is from RefSeq and is a predicted model, not a curated record. NCBI's taxonomy places the organism in Eukaryota, Metazoa, Arthropoda, Insecta, Diptera, Muscidae.